RNAcentral lists this ribosomal RNA (318 nucleotides) under Triticum aestivum (bread wheat). Its description in RNAcentral is "partial small subunit ribosomal RNA". Lineage: Eukaryota; Viridiplantae; Streptophyta; Magnoliopsida; Poales; Poaceae. The record is from RNAcentral.
AUGGCGGACGCGGAAGAGGCGUGCGGUGAGUCCACGACGUGUGGUGUGGUCGGGCUCGUCGGGCGCGUCGGGUGCGCGCGGGACGUGCGGGACGCACUGAUGCGAUCGGGCUCGUCGGGCGCGUCGGGUGCACACGGGAUGUGCGGGGCGCAGAGGCACGCCAGGCGUGUGUCGCCGGCGGAGAAGGAGUUCGGCGUGUGUCGCCGGAGUCAUGACGGAGCACGGUGCGACCGGCGUCAGUGCGGCAGGUCGGGUCCGUGGCGGUGCGACCGGCGUCGUUGCGCCAGGUCGGGUCCGUGGGCUGGGUCACACUCGUGA